RNAcentral lists this ribosomal RNA (589 nucleotides) under uncultured bacterium. RNAcentral describes it as "bacterial SSU rRNA". It matches the Rfam family "Bacterial small subunit ribosomal RNA", at positions 337 to 917 of the family's 1533-position model. The record is from RNAcentral.
UCCUACGGGAGGCAGCAGUAGGGAAUCUUCCGCAAUGGACGAAAGUCUGACGGAGCAACGCCGCGUGAGUGAUGAAGGUUUUCGGAUCGUAAAACUCUGUUGUUAGGGAAGAACAAGUUGGGUAGUAACUGACCCAACCUUGACGGUACCUAACCAGAAAGCCACGGCUAACUACGUGCCAGCAGCCGCGGUAAUACGUAGGUGGCAAGCGUUGUCCGGAAUUACUGGGCGUAAAGCGCGCGCAGGUGGUUUCUUAAGUCUGAUGUGAAAGCCUACGGCUCAACCGUGGAGGGUCAUUGGAAACUGGGAGACUUGAGUGCAGAAGAGGAAAGUGGAAUUCCAUGUGUAGCGGUGAAAUGCGUAGAGAUAUGGAGGAACACCAGUGGCGAAGGCGACUUUCUGGUCUGUAACUGACACUGAGGCGCGAAAGCGUGGGGAGCAAACAGGAUUAGAUACCCUGGUAGUCCACGCCGUAAACGAUGAGUGCUAAGUGUUAGAGGGUUUCCGCCCUUUAGUGCUGAAGUUAACGCAUUAAGCACUCCGCCUGGGGAGUACGGCCGCAAGGCUGAAACUCAAAGGAAUUGACGGA